GGGCUAAGUACGUGCGCGCGGACGGGGUGAUAUGGGGGGGGCGAGCGUUGGCUGGGAUUAUUGGGGGUAAAGAGCUCGGAGGCGGCCUGUCGCGUCGGAUGUGAAAGCCCGGGUCGUAACCCCGGUUCUGCAUUCGAUACGGGCAGGCUAGAGUGUGGUAGGGGAGAUCGGAAUUCCUGGUGUAGCGGUGAAAUGCGCAGAUAUCAGGAGGAACACCGGUGGCGAAGGCGGAUCUCUGGGCCAUUACUGACGCUGAGGAGCGAAAGCGUGGGGAGCGAACAGGAUUAGAUACCCCAAGUC
Molecule: ribosomal RNA, 300 nt
Filed under: uncultured bacterium
Lineage: Bacteria
Description: bacterial SSU rRNA
Rfam family: Bacterial small subunit ribosomal RNA
Source: RNAcentral